GCUUUUGAAAGAUUGUAGAUAUCUAUUGAUCUUAGGAAUCAAAAACUCUUGGUGCAACUCCAAGCAUAAGCU
RNAcentral lists this transfer RNA (72 nucleotides) under Rhina ancylostomus. Its description in RNAcentral is "tRNA-Leu". The record is from RNAcentral. Lineage: Eukaryota; Metazoa; Chordata; Chondrichthyes; Rhinopristiformes; Rhinidae.